Equus caballus (horse) is the source of this 2181-nucleotide long non-coding RNA. The record is from Ensembl. NCBI's taxonomy places the organism in Eukaryota, Metazoa, Chordata, Mammalia, Perissodactyla, Equidae.
UAGGGUUGCUGCCUUCAGAGACACUUAGCUCAGGGAACAACAAGCAUGAGCGCAAAUCAUUACAGUCCCACGGUGCUAUCCAUCCACUGCAGGACUUCAGAAGCUACGUACUCAAACAUAAUGUGAAGCGUUAUUCUUCCUCCAAGUCAGUAAUCGUCACCAACAUCGGUGGGGCAGGAGAAGAGGAAGGUACAGAUGAAGGAAAAGAAAGAGAAACCAGCCACCUGGACUCAUGGAGAGGGAAGACCCUCUGGAGGCCUUGGAACAUGGAAUUGUCUUAUCGGAAGACCAUUCCUGUGCCUCUAAUAAAGGAAAAUUAGCCCUGAGCUAACAUCUGUGCCAAUCUUCCUCUACUUUGUAUGUGGGAUGCCUCCACAGCAUGGCUGAUGAGUGGAGCAAGUCUGCACCCUGGAUCCGAACCAGCGAACCUGGGCCACCAAAGCAGAGAGUGCAGAACUUUAACCGCUCGACCCUGGACGGACCCCCUAUGCAUUUGCUUGUAUUUUUGAUGAACCUCAUCUACACGCUCCAAAUUCCUAAUUUGCAAAACCUGGAAUGAGUCAGAUAAGCUUUUCACGCCUGAGCACUAACAUGAGGUUGCUGGUCUGAAACAUUUCCAAGGUUCCCUCCAACAUUCUGGCCAAUGCACUAUGUUCUCUGAUUUUCAGGCCCAUGCUUUGAUUUGGAUAUAAUUCUCUCAUUUCUAUACUUUGACAACUCUAGACAAGUCUGAGAUGUCUUCCUGACCCACUGUGGUCUAUUCCUCUUCUUCCUUCUCCAUAUUCCCAGUGAAUAGCUCCUCCGUAUCCAAGAUGAUAGAUGUCUGAGAACCUACCAUCCUGUGCAGAUGACUGUGUGUGUCUAGUCUUGGAACUCUUCAAAAAUAAGGACAGCACAUUUUAUCUUAUAUUCCUGCACAUAGUAUAGUUCUUGGCACAUAACAGACGUGCAAUGAGUAAACACUGACACUCUCUUAUACACAUUUCAUGGCCAGUACUGUGUGGGUUCUUGUUUGAGAACAGUUACGUAAGUACAGAAUAGGUUCAGGAUAUGACAGAUUGUGGUUAUUUUGGAUAAAAUUUAAAAUGACCCAAUUUUAAGCACAGUUAAGAGGUUCUUGGACAUAUGAAGAAUGCUCAUGUUUGCCUCAGGGAUAUUAACUAAGGAAAGAAAAACAUCUUUAGUACAAACAUCAUUGAAAUUACAUUUAAAGACGUCUUGCCAAUUCAUCAUACACAGAUAAAUCUCCUAAUCUCCUAAAAGAAACAUUUCUGUUGUAGCUUUUAUGUUAUUCAGCUUUAUGGACUUAAAUAUAUAUAAAGAAGGAUAUUCAAGAUUCCAAGAGCAGAACUUCAAUUUAUAUAACUUUACUCUGUUAAGAAAAAAGAGUUUCAUUUAACUUAAAACGUUUACCUUGUGAUCAUAAUGAGGAACCAAUUAGAUUGUAAGUCUCUUCCCAACAAAUCCUAGAUCUAGAAUCUAGAACCCUGAAUUGCUCUUGCCUCAUUCUACUAACCUGAAGGCCUAUGAUUAUCACAUUAAACAGAAUUACAAAGCCCUGGAUCCACAAUUCAAAUCUUCAGGAUUUGUGUCUUUGUCAGGAAAUGGAUUAUUCUAAUUCGCUGGUCAGAAGCGAUAACCAAGAAACAGCUAGAAACACUAUUUUAUUGUUUUGGAGACGAUCACAUAUGGCCAAAGGAAACUUUGACUUUAAUCAGCACUAAUAAUGUAUAUGGGUCACUUGUCCUCUAGAUAGGGGACAGUCUUUUAUGUGUCGGCACAGAAACAGAUGAUUGUCUGACAAUACUAAACCACUGGCCUUGUUGAGAAGUGAUUGAUCAGCUUGCAUAUCCUCAAAAUCACCUCCAACUUGUGUCCAUCCUAAUCACUGUUUCUCAACAAGAGUGGAAGAUCCCACCCAGGCAGCUUUUUGGCAUCUAUGGAUCAGACUUUUUCAAGAUGCAGAACUUCUGGAGAUUCAGAGUUUUUUUUGGUGCAGUCACUGCAGGGCAAUGAGAUGAAAGAUGGGGAAAAGCACAAUCCGAGUCUGGGGCUCACCACUCCCUUCUGAGUUCUCAUGAAGAGCAAGGCUCCUUCUGAGCCCUGAUGCCCAAUAGCCCCUGGAGGGAGCCUGCCUUAUUUCUCAGGAUCGUGGAUGAGAAGACUGGCCUUGGCUUCCCU